AGAGUUCGAGUCUGGCUCAGGAUGAACGCUGGCGGCGUGCCUAACACAUGCAAGUCGAGCGAUCUCUCGGAGAAGAGCGGCGGACGGGUGAGUAACGCGUGGGUAACCUGCCUCAUACACAUGGAUAACAUACCGAAAGGUAUGCUAAUACAGGAUAAUAUAAGAGAUUCACAUGGAUUUCUUAUCAAAGCUCCGGCGGUAUGAGAUGGACCCGCGUCUGAUUAGCUAGUUGGUAAGGUAACGGCUUACCAAAGGCGACGAUCAGUAGCCGACCUGAGAGGGUGAUCGGCCACAUUGGAACUGAGACACGGUCCAAACUCCUACGGGAGGCAGCAGUGGGGAAUAUUGCACAAUGGGCGAAAGCCUGAUGCCAGCAACGCCGCGUGAGUGAUGAAGGCCUUCGGGUCGUAAAACUCUGUCCUCAAGGAAGAUAAUGACGGUACUUGAGGAGGAAGCCCCGGCUAACUACGUGCCAGCAGCCGC
RNAcentral lists this ribosomal RNA (483 nucleotides) under uncultured bacterium. RNAcentral describes it as "bacterial SSU rRNA". It matches the Rfam family "Bacterial small subunit ribosomal RNA", at positions 8 to 518 of the family's 1533-position model. The record is from RNAcentral.